RNAcentral lists this ribosomal RNA (253 nucleotides) under uncultured bacterium. Its description in RNAcentral is "partial 16S ribosomal RNA". It matches the Rfam family "Bacterial small subunit ribosomal RNA", at positions 524 to 776 of the family's 1533-position model. The record is from RNAcentral.
GACAGAGGAUGCAAGCGUUAUUCGGAUUGACUGGGCGUAAAGCGUCCGUAGGUUGUGCUCUAAGUCUUUUGUUAAAUGUCGAAGCUCAACUUCGGCCCAGCAAAUGAAACUCGAGCGCUGGAGAACGAUAGAGGCAGUGGGAAUUCUCGGUGUAGCGGUGAAAUGCGUAGAGAUCGGGAGGAACACCAGAGGCGAAAGCGCGCUGCUGGGUCGGUUCUGACACUAAAGGACGAAAGCUAGGGUAGCGAACGGG